Molecule: long non-coding RNA, 339 nt
Filed under: Junco hyemalis (dark-eyed junco)
Lineage: Eukaryota; Metazoa; Chordata; Aves; Passeriformes; Passerellidae
Description: lncRNA (ENSJHYG00000011801.1)
Source: RNAcentral
AUGCCAAAGAGCAGUCCUGACAUCUUGGCCUUGUUUUUCUUUCUGCUCUUCCAUGUGUGUAUCUUAUUACAUGGAAGUAUGCUGAGAGGUCGUUUGCCAUGUAAAAAUGUGAUGAAAAUUGAAGGAAGACUUCGGAUUUUGGCCCCAGUUCUUCUACAUUUUUUUUCCUAUGUAGAAGUCUUUACAGCACAGCCAGAAGAGAAUGUGGAAACAGCUGAAAAAUCUGCGACAGAGCAAGUCAAAAGGGAGUUAAAAUUACACAGGAUGCUUGUGAAGAAAAUGUGGUCAGCUGUGAACCUCAGACUUGAUCUCUUAAGUGAACUGAGAUGCACGAGGUGA